This 465-nucleotide ribosomal RNA is filed under the name Vreelandella stevensii. RNAcentral's name for it is "partial 16S ribosomal RNA". It matches the Rfam family "Bacterial small subunit ribosomal RNA", at positions 338 to 795 of the family's 1533-position model. Lineage: Bacteria; Pseudomonadati; Pseudomonadota; Gammaproteobacteria; Oceanospirillales; Halomonadaceae. The record is from RNAcentral.
CCUACGGGCGGCUGCAGUGGGGAAUAUUGGACAAUGGGCGAAAGCCUGAUCCAGCCAUGCCGCGUGUGUGAAGAAGGCCUUCGGGUUGUAAAGCACUUUCAGUGGGGAAGAAAGCCCUGGGGCUAAUACCCUCGAGGAAGGACAUCACCCACAGAAGAAGCACCGGCUAACUCCGUGCCAGCAGCCGCGGUAAUACGGAGGGUGCGAGCGUUAAUCGGAAUUACUGGGCGUAAAGCGCGCGUAGGCGGUCUGAUAAGCCGGUUGUGAAAGCCCCGGGCUCAACCUGGGAACGGCAUCCGGAACUGUCAGGCUAGAGUGCAGGAGAGGAAGGUAGAAUUCCCGGUGUAGCGGUGAAAUGCGUAGAGAUCGGGAGGAAUACCAGUGGCGAAGGCGGCCUUCUGGACUGACACUGACGCUGAGGUGCGAAAGCGUGGGUAGCAAACAGGAUUAGAUACCCGGGUAGUC